Molecule: long non-coding RNA, 1660 nt
Filed under: Spirodela polyrhiza (greater duckweed)
Lineage: Eukaryota; Viridiplantae; Streptophyta; Magnoliopsida; Alismatales; Araceae
Description: long non-coding RNA (SPOL_LNC000208)
Source: RNAcentral
UAAUGAUUAGAGAUAUUAAAAAUGAUCAUAGUUUUAAGGUAAAUGGACAGAGGCUUAAACCUUACAUAGAACAUGAAUGCCCUGCAAAAAAAGAGAUUUUAUUAUUAAAAGAAAUUCGAGAAUGAGAUUAAUGUGUCUAGCUGGAGACAUUAAACUCAGCACUGCAUGGGAGGCAACCCAUGGUUCUGUUUAAAAUUAGUGCUUUACUUUUGUUGAAUUUUGCAGCAUCUAUUUUUUUGUAUUGUUUUCUUCUUUCAAAAAAAAAAAAAGAAUAAAAGUGCAGGAGGAGGAGUGUAAGACGAAGUGGAAAAUUAAAAGCGAGCCUGAGGUUAUAUGUUCUUGAACUUGAUCCUUUAUUACAGUAUUUUUCGUGCUUAAUUUUAUUUAUAUGCAUACUUGAUUGAAAAUUACAUUUUCUGUAAUUUGUGUCAUUGGGGACAAUGUCAAAUUUAAGUUGGGGGGUAAGGUGAGGAAGGUAUUAAGUUUUAAUGCUGUAGAAUGAAUAGGAAUAUGUUUUGACAAUUUUUCAUCAUCUAUAAGAGCAAUUUUUUGAAAAAUAUAGUGCUGAUUUCCUAGUUCUGUCAGAAAUAACAGAAAAUAGUGCAGAGUGCAGACUGUCAAAAACCAGUAGAAAAAAAUUAUAAAAACAGUAUGAAACUUGAAAUUUUAGAGACCCUUUUCUCACAUUUCAAACCCCUAGGCAUAUAUUGUUGAAAUUCAGAAUUAUUGUUAUGAAAAUGAUAGUUUUGAUUUAUUAUUUUUACAAAUAGAUUGUUGCUGAAAACAGAACUGACAGAACUAAAACAGAGGCAUAAUUUUCAGAUCUAAUUUUUACAUCAUAUUAUGUGCACGGAAAAAUUAAAUCAAUUAGAUUAAUUGAUACCAAAGGAUAUUAGGAUGAUUAUUAUUGAGUUAAGAGAAUGAUUGAAUAGCUUGAAAUGUUGGAAUACUCCUUAGAUACAUUAUAGAUAACAUGGAUUUGAUUUUAUAGAUUUUUCACUUCAUGAUCUUGAUGGAUAGAAUUUACUUGAUGAAAAAAUUUGAUUGAUCAUUUGAGUUUAAUAGAGAUUUUUACACCCUGAUCUAUAGGACUUGUGAGGAGAAAUCACUUGUUUCGAAAAAUAGAAAAAAAAAUGAGUAGUGUAGAAAAAAAAAAAAAACACUUGCUGCAAAAUAAGUGGAUAAUGUGAAAGCCCUGAAAAUAAAGAGUACACAUGGAGGGUGUGAGACAUCAUUCUCAUUGUCGAAAUUUGUUUACAGAAAAAGCUGCUUAUUCACCACGAAAAAAAAAAAAAACAGAGGAAGAAGAAAUAUAGUGCAAACUUCAAAAAUCAAGCCAUAGGGAAGGGAAAGGUAGGAUCAAUAUUAUGCUUGGAUGAUUAUUGAUAAUUGGACCAUCUUGUAAAUUAUAUCCAUGAGUAAAGAAGUGAUAAAGAUGUAGAUUGAAGAAGUGAAAUUUAUAUUGUUAUUCCAAGAAGUGUUUAGACAUUUAAAAGCUUGAUAUCUUUCUUCAAUACUUGAUAAAAUAGUCCAAAAUAUCUAGAGGUUCAUCAUUUCUAAUUGUAUUUUGUACAUUGAAAUAUGAUGUUUGAAAUUUCUGAAUGAUAAUUAUAUUUUUAAUUCCAUUACUAAAGGACUAGUAAUGAUUUAAGUUGGNNNN